Molecule: ribosomal RNA, 253 nt
Filed under: uncultured bacterium
Lineage: Bacteria
Description: partial 16S ribosomal RNA
Rfam family: Bacterial small subunit ribosomal RNA
Source: RNAcentral
UACGUAGGGUGCGAGCGUUGUCCGGAAUUAUUGGGCGUAAAGGGCUCGUAGGCGGUUUGUCACGUCGGGAGUGAAAACUCAGGGCUCAACCCUGAGCCUGCUUCCGAUACGGGCAGACUAGAGGUAUGCAGGGGAGAACGGAAUUCCUGGUGUAGCGGUGAAAUGCGCAGAUAUCAGGAGGAACACCGGUGGCGAAGGCGGGUCUCUGGGCCAAUACUGACGCUGAGGAACGAAAGCGUGGGGAGCGAACAGG